AAAAGCUACCCCGGGGAUAACAGGCUUAUCUCCCCCAAGAGUCCACAUCGACGGGGAGGUUUGGCACCUCGAUGUCGGCUCAUCGCAUCCUGGGGCUGUAGUCGGUCCCAAGGGUUGGGCUGUUCGCCCAUUAAAGCGGUACGCGAGCUGGGUUCAGAACGUCGUGAGACAGUUCGGUCCCUAUCCGUCGUGGGCGCAGGAAAUUUGAGAGGAGCUGUCCUUAGUACGAGAGGACCGGGAUGGACGCACCGCUGGUGUACCAGUUGUCUUGCCAAAGGCAUCGCUGGGUAGCUAUGUGCGGACGGGAUAAGUGCUGAAAGCAUCUAAGCAUGAAGCCCCCCUCAAGAUGAGAUUUCCCAUAGCGUCAAGCUAGUAAGAUCCCUGAAAGAUGAUCAGGUUGAUAGGUCAGAGGUGGAAGCGCGGUGACGUGUGGAGCUGACUGAUACUAAUCGAUCGAGGACUUAACCAAU
RNAcentral lists this ribosomal RNA (470 nucleotides) under Mesobacillus campisalis. RNAcentral describes it as "bacterial LSU rRNA". It matches the Rfam family "Bacterial large subunit ribosomal RNA", at positions 2458 to 2925 of the family's 2925-position model. The record is from RNAcentral. Lineage: Bacteria; Bacillati; Bacillota; Bacilli; Caryophanales; Bacillaceae.